RNAcentral lists this ribosomal RNA (730 nucleotides) under uncultured Bacilli bacterium. RNAcentral describes it as "bacterial SSU rRNA". It matches the Rfam family "Bacterial small subunit ribosomal RNA", at positions 37 to 723 of the family's 1533-position model. The record is from RNAcentral. Lineage: Bacteria; Bacillati; Bacillota; Bacilli.
CGGCGGUGUGCCUAAUACAUGCAAGUCGAACGCGUUGGCCCAAUUGAUUGAUAGUGCUUGCACCUGAUUGAUUUUGGUCGCCAACGAGUGGCGGACGGGUGAGUAACACGUAGGUAACCUGCCCAGAAGCGGGGGACAACAUUUGGAAACAGAUGCUAAUACCGCAUAACAACGUUGUUCGCAUGAACAACGCUUAAAAGAUGGCUUCUCGCUAUCACUUCUGGAUGGACCUGCGGUGCAUUAGCUUGUUGGUGGGGUAAUGGCCUACCAAGGCGAUGAUGCAUAGCCGAGUUGAGAGACUGAUCGGCCACAAUGGGACUGAGACACGGCCCAUACUCCUACGGGAGGCAGCAGUAGGGAAUCUUCCACAAUGGGCGCAAGCCUGAUGGAGCAACACCGCGUGAGUGAAGAAGGGUUUCGGCUCGUAAAGCUCUGUUGUUAAAGAAGAACACGUAUGAGAGUAACUGUUCAUACGUUGACGGUAUUUAACCAGAAAGUCACGGCUAACUACGUGCCAGCAGCCGCGGUAAUACGUAGGUGGCAAGCGUUAUCCGGAUUUAUUGGGCGUAAAGAGAGUGCAGGCGGUUUUCUAAGUCUGAUGUGAAAGCCUUCGGCUUAACCGGAGAAGUGCAUCGGAAACUGGAUAACUUGAGUGCAGAAGAGGGUAGUGGAACUCCAUGUGUAGCGGUGGAAUGCGUAGAUAUAUGGAAGAACACCAGUGGCGAAGGCG